RNAcentral lists this ribosomal RNA (253 nucleotides) under uncultured bacterium. Its description in RNAcentral is "partial 16S ribosomal RNA". It matches the Rfam family "Bacterial small subunit ribosomal RNA", at positions 524 to 776 of the family's 1533-position model. The record is from RNAcentral.
UACGUAGGGUGCAAGCGUUGUCCGGAAUUAUUGGGCGUAAAGAGAACGUAGGCGGUUUGUUAAGUCUGCUCUUAAAGACCAGGGCUCAACCCUGGGAAUGGAGUGGAAACUGGCGGACUCGAGGACGUCAGAGGAAGGUGGAAUUCCCAGUGUAGCGGUGAAAUGCGUAGAUAUUGGGAGGAACACCAGUGGCGAAAGCGACCUUCUGGGACGAUCCUGACGCUGAGGUUCGAAAGCUCGGGGAGCAAACAGG